Molecule: ribosomal RNA, 253 nt
Filed under: uncultured prokaryote
Description: partial 16S ribosomal RNA
Rfam family: Bacterial small subunit ribosomal RNA
Source: RNAcentral
UACGGAGGGUGCAAGCGUUAUCCGGAUUUACUGGGUUUAAAGGGUGCGUAGGUGGGUCUGUAAGUCAGUGGUGAAAUCUCCGAGCUUAACUCGGAACGGUCAACUGAUACUGCUCGGCUAGAGUGCGGAAGGGGCAACUGGAAUUCUUGGUGUAGCGGUGAAAUGCGUAGAUAUCAAGAGGAACACCUGCGGCGAAGGCGGGUUGCUGGGCCGACACUGACGCUGAAGCGCGAAAGCUAGGGGAGCGAACGGG